CCUACGGGAGGCAGCAGUGGGGAAUAUUGGACAAUGGGCGAAAGCCUGAUCCAGCAAUGCCGCGUGAGUGAAGAAGGCCUUCGGGUUGUAAAGCUCUUUUACCCGGGAAGAUAAUGACUGUACCGGGAGAAUAAGCUCCGGCUAACUCCGUGCCAGCAGCCGCGGUAAUACGGAGGGAGCUAGCGUUGUUCGGAAUUACUGGGCGUAAAGCGUACGUAGGCGGCUUGGUAAGUCAGAGGUGAAAGCCCACGACUCAAUCGUGGAACUGCCUUUGAGACUGCUUCGCUUGAAGAUGGGAGAGGUUAGUGGAAUUCCGAGUGUAGAGGUGAAAUUCGUAGAUAUUCGGAAGAACACCAGUGGCGAAGGCGGCUAACUGGACCAUUCUUGACGCUGAGGUACGAAAGCGUGGGGAGCAAACAGGAUUAGAUACCCUGGUAGUCCACGCCGUAAACGAUGAUAACUAGCUGUCGGGGCUCUUGGAGCUUCGGUGGCGCAGCUAACGCAUUAAGUUAUCCGCCUGGGGAGUACGGCCGCAGGUUAAACUUAAAUGAAUUGACGG
This 559-nucleotide ribosomal RNA is filed under the name uncultured bacterium. Its description in RNAcentral is "bacterial SSU rRNA". It matches the Rfam family "Bacterial small subunit ribosomal RNA", at positions 338 to 916 of the family's 1533-position model. The record is from RNAcentral.